Molecule: long non-coding RNA, 1018 nt
Filed under: Citrus x clementina
Lineage: Eukaryota; Viridiplantae; Streptophyta; Magnoliopsida; Sapindales; Rutaceae
Description: Citrus clementina (C. clementina) long non-coding RNA (CCLE_LNC003012)
Source: RNAcentral
UCGUGACACACCAACGUUUCUUUAUUAUUAUUAUUUGUUUGGAUUCUCGGUAGCCCGUUUCGUCCUGUGCUUCUAGCCCUGCUCGUAAAACUGAACUCUCCGUUCUCAGCCAUUUCUUCAGUUUCUCUUUCUCUCUAUAUAUAGGACAAGGCACAUGUACACACAUUCAGUACGAAUUAAAUUAAUUACACUUGUAUGCUGUGAAAUUAGAAAGAGACUGAGAAACACAAUACACGAAAAGCUACAGAAACGAAAAUGAAACCUGAAAACGAGGAUAAGGAUGAACGAACAAAAUUUCCUAGUCUUAUGUUGAGAUAUAUUUAUAUAUCUGGGGCAAAGAACAUUCGCUACUUAUAGGCAAGGUCGCCGAGGAAAGCUUAACCUUGGUUACUUAACUAUGGUUCUGGAGUUUUAACUUGAUCUUUGUGAUAAAUAUGGCAACGCGGAUCAUAUCCUCUGAAGCCGCCACCAAACGGUCGCAUGUCACCAAACGGUCGCAUGUUUAUGCAUGAUUGGGAGUUUCAUAUUACCUGAGAACUUCGAACCAAUAACGGCACAUCAAUUUAGUUGUACAUAAAAAAUUUCUUUAAAUUAUUAAAGAUAGAUCCAGUUUUUUCGGAUGUGAAAAUAUUUGAACUGGGCUUCAACAAAAUACCGUCAAUUUUAGUCAGGCUGAAGCUGAACUGUGCUUUAACAAGAUAAUUUUUACAGGUUGUGAUAAAUUUUUAAUUGUAACAUCACUGUAUUAUUUAUUAAAAAAAAUAAGAGUGUGAGAUAAGAGAAAUUUUAGAAUACAUCUGUUGUACUAUGUCAGUUAUAUAAGAGCAUCUCCAAUAAACUCUUCAAAUAAAAUUUUACUUCUUACUUGAAGAGCCAUAUCAAUAUUAAACACUUCAAAAGACACGUUAAUUUAGAUUCUUCAAAUAAGAUUUGUUUCUAAGAGCAUCACCAAAAUACUCUUCAAAUAAGAUUUUAUUACUUAUUUGAAGAGCCACAUCAAUAUUUAAAGCUUCAAAAG